GAACAGCUCCGUCGGUAAAGAAUGAGACUCUUAAUCUCAGGGUUGUGGGCUUGAGCCCCACAUUGGUCAACA
Molecule: non-coding RNA, 72 nt
Organism: Podarcis lilfordi (Lilford's wall lizard)
Lineage: Eukaryota; Metazoa; Chordata; Lepidosauria; Squamata; Lacertidae
Source: the annotation of a GenBank genome assembly